GUCGAGAAUCUUUCGCAAUGGGGGAAACCCUGACGACGCGACGCCGCGUGGAGGAUGAAGGCCUUCGGGUUGUAAACUCCUGUCAGCUGGGGAGAACAAGUUGUCGGUGAAUAACCGGCGACCUUGACAGUACCAGCAGAGGAAGCCACGGCUAACUCUGUGCCAGCAGCCGCGGUAAUACAGAGGUGGCAAGCGUUGUUCGGAUUUAUUGGGCGUAAAGGGUCCGUAGGCGGCCUAGAAAGUCGGAUGUGAAAUCCCACAGCUUAACUGUGGAACUGCAUUGGAAACUUCUAGGCUCGAGUGUGAUAGGGGUAAAGGGAAUUCCCGGUGUAAGGGUGAAAUCUGCAGAGAUCGGGAGGAACACCAGUCGCGAAGGCGCUUUACUGGAUCACUACUGACGCUGAGGGACGAAAGCCAGGGGAGCAAACGGGAUUAGAUACCCCUGUAGUCC
RNAcentral lists this ribosomal RNA (451 nucleotides) under uncultured bacterium. Its description in RNAcentral is "bacterial SSU rRNA". It matches the Rfam family "Bacterial small subunit ribosomal RNA", at positions 354 to 796 of the family's 1533-position model. The record is from RNAcentral.